Molecule: ribosomal RNA, 408 nt
Filed under: uncultured bacterium
Lineage: Bacteria
Description: partial 16S ribosomal RNA
Rfam family: Bacterial small subunit ribosomal RNA
Source: RNAcentral
GACGAACGCUGGCGGCGUGCUUAACACAUGCAAGUCGAACGAAGUGGCGAACGGGUGAGUAAUACGUGAGUAACCUGCCCUCCUUUUUGGGAUAAGCCUUGGAAACGGGGUCUAAUACCGAAUAAAGGGGGAUGGGCUCGCGGCCUAUCAGCUUGUUGGUGGGGGGAUGGCCUGCCAAGGCGGUGACGGGUAGCCGGCCUGAGAGGGUGACGGGCGAAGUUGGGACUGAGAUACGGCCCAGACUGCUACGUGAGGCAGCAGUGGGGGGUAUUGCAGAAUGGGCGAAAGCCUGAUGCAGCGGCGCCGCGUGGGGGAUGAAGGCUUUCGGGUUGUAAACCUCUUUCGCUAUCAACAGGGUAGGUGGAGAAGAAGCGACGGCUAACUACGUGCCAGCCGCCGCGGUAAUUC